GAGCCUCCCAAUCUCAUCUGAUUUUGGAAGCUAAG
This 35-nucleotide ribosomal RNA is filed under the name Pogona vitticeps (central bearded dragon). Lineage: Eukaryota; Metazoa; Chordata; Lepidosauria; Squamata; Agamidae. The record is from RNAcentral.